ACGAGGGUGAUGACGCUGAGCACGAAGCGUGGGGAUCAAACAGGAUUAGAUACCCUGGUAGUCCACGCAGUAACGAUGAUAACUAACCCGCUGGGCAUUCGUGUUCAGUGGCCAAGCGAAAGCGAUAAGUUAUCCACCUGGGGAGUACGACCGCAAGGUUGAAACUCAAAGGAAUUGACGGGGGCCCGCACAAGCGGAGGAACAUGUGGUUUAAUUCGAUGAUACGCGAGGAACCUUACCCGGGCUCGAACGGCAGAGGAACAAUCCAGAGAUGGUGCGGCCCUUCGGGGCUUCUGUCGAGGUGCUGCAUGGUUGUCGUCAGCUCGUGCCGUGAGGUGUCGGCUCAAGUGCCAUAACGAGCGCAACCCUUGCCGUCAGUUACCAGCACGUCGUGGUGGGGACUCUGGCGGGACUGCCACCGCAAGGUGAGAGGAAGGGGGGGAUGACGUCAAAUCAGCACGGCCCUUACGUCCGGGGCGACACACGUGUUACAAUGGUGACUACAGAGGGAAUCUACCUGGCGACAGGAUGGUAAUCUCGAAAAGUCAUCUCAGUCCGGAUCGGAGUCUGCAACUCGACUCCGUGAAGCUGGAUUCGCUAGUAAUCGCGCAUCAGCCAUGGCGCGGUGAAUACGUUCCCGGGCCUUGUACACACCGCCCGUCAAGCCAUGAAAGUCUGGGGCGCCUGAAGUCCGUUACCGCAAGGAUCGGCCUAGGGCGAAACUGGUAAUUGGGGCUAAGUCGUAACAAGGUAGCCGUA
RNAcentral lists this ribosomal RNA (759 nucleotides) under uncultured bacterium. RNAcentral describes it as "bacterial SSU rRNA". It matches the Rfam family "Bacterial small subunit ribosomal RNA", at positions 731 to 1504 of the family's 1533-position model. The record is from RNAcentral.